Eriocheir sinensis (Chinese mitten crab) is the source of this 873-nucleotide long non-coding RNA. RefSeq lists it as uncharacterized. NCBI's taxonomy places the organism in Eukaryota, Metazoa, Arthropoda, Malacostraca, Decapoda, Varunidae. The record is from RefSeq and is a predicted model, not a curated record. The transcript is spliced from 4 exons.
GAGUGAGACUUUCUAAAGAUUCAGAAACGGUUCGAGAGGUGUGUCGAUACUCCCGCUUCGAUGCCCCACCGUGCUGAGAGCGGCGUGGCUUCCUGCAUUUGGUGUUUAUCGUCUGUUCGUGAAGUGGUGGCGGUCUAGUGACGGGUACGUGUGUGGAUCCACGAAGAGACAUGCCCGCGCCUAACUAACCGGUCCUCCACGCCCAUCAUUGCCCCGGUCUUCCCGCGGCGUCACAAAUCAGACCGGAAGACCCCGCAAUGCCCCACCACGCUGCGCCGCGCCUCCCGAGUUGAGCCCAGGCACUUCCCACGUCAGCGGUGAGUCAUGCACGCCUCCAUUGCUCCGGUCUACCCUCUGCUUCCUGGCACCGUGGCCCUGCGUGCGGCGAUGAGGUUUUCCCUAGGAGGAUGCUGGGAGGGAGGCUGACACGAGGGCUGUGUGGUCUGCAAAUAAAACUCAAGGACUUCCCAUUAAAAAGUGACUAGCUUCAAUAAGUACUUGAGACUUCCAGUGGGGCAAGAAGUUGGCAAACCCUUCAGCAUGCCUGAAAGGAAAACUUGGUCCUGAAUGUGAGUAACACUCAUACCAUUGUAACACCAUUUAUCAUCAUUUCAUCGACGCCUGCUCCUAGGAACUACACCAGGGGAUGGCCACGACAUAAGAGUUUCCAACUUUCUCUAUCCAGACACUCCUUCCUUGCCUGCUUAAAGUUUCUCAAGGAUCUUUUCCCCCCUCUCCCUAACGUAGUCUUGCACCCUCUCUCUCCAUUUCACUGGAGGUCGUCCUCUAACAUUCCCUCCCUCUAUCUCACUUGCAUACAUAAAGUCUGUCGCUUCACCUCUUCCACCACUCCACACUUCUUCCUUUCACCCU